GACGAACGCUGGCGGCGUGCCUAACACAUGCAAGUCGAGCGGUAAGGCCUUUCGGGGUACACGAGCGGCGAACGGGUGAGUAACACGUGGGUGAUCUGCCCUGCACUUCGGGAUAAGCCUGGGAAACUGGGUCUAAUACCGGAUAUGACCUCCUAUCGCAUGGUGGGUGGUGGAAAGAUUUAUCGGUGCAGGAUGGGCCCGCGGCCUAUCAGCUUGUUGGUGGGGUAAUGGCCUACCAAGGCGACGACGGGUAGCCGACCUGAGAGGGUGACCGGCCACACUGGGACUGAGACACGGCCCAGACUCCUACGGGAGGCAGCAGUGGGGAAUAUUGCACAAUGGGCGAAAGCCUGAUGCAGCGACGCCGCGUGAGGGAUGACGGCCUUCGGGUUGUAAACCUCUUUCAGCAGGGACGAAGCGCAAGUGACGGUACCUGCAGAAGAAGCACCGGCUAACUACGUGCCAGCAGCCGCGGUAAUACGUAGGGUGCAAGCGUUGUCCGGAAUUACUGGGCGUAAAGAGUUCGUAGGCGGUUUGUCGCGUCGUUUGUGAAAACCAGCAGCUCAACUGCUGGCUUGCAGGCGAUACGGGCAGACUUGAGUACUGCAGGGGAGACUGGAAUUCCUGGUGUAGCGGUGAAAUGCGCAGAUAUCAGGAGGAACACCGGUGGCGAAGGCGGGUCUCUGGGCAGUAACUGACGCUGAGGAACGAAAGCGUGGGUAGCGAACAGGAUUAGAUACCCUGGUAGUCCACGCCGUAAACGGUGGGCGCUAGGUGUGGGUUCCUUCCACGGAAUCCGUGCCGUAGCUAACGCAUUAAGCGCCCCGCCUGGGGAGUACGGCCGCAAGGCUAAAACUCAAGGAAUUGACGGGGGCCCGCACAAGCGGCGGAGCAUGUGGAUUAAUUCGAUGCAACGCGAAGAACCUUACCUGGGUUUGACAUAUACCGGGAAAGCUGCAGAGAUGUGGCCCCCCUUGUGGUCGGUAUACAGGUGGUGCAUGG
RNAcentral lists this ribosomal RNA (1002 nucleotides) under uncultured bacterium. RNAcentral's name for it is "bacterial SSU rRNA". It matches the Rfam family "Bacterial small subunit ribosomal RNA", at positions 28 to 1048 of the family's 1533-position model. The record is from RNAcentral.